RNAcentral lists this ribosomal RNA (464 nucleotides) under Vreelandella stevensii. RNAcentral describes it as "partial 16S ribosomal RNA". It matches the Rfam family "Bacterial small subunit ribosomal RNA", at positions 338 to 795 of the family's 1533-position model. Lineage: Bacteria; Pseudomonadati; Pseudomonadota; Gammaproteobacteria; Oceanospirillales; Halomonadaceae. The record is from RNAcentral.
CCUACGGGAGGCUGCAGUGGGGAAUAUUGGACAAUGGGGGCAACCCUGAUCCAGCCAUGCCGCGUGUGUGAAGAAGGCCCUCGGGUUGUAAAGCACUUUCAGUGAGGAAGAACGCCUGGUGGUUAAUACCCAUCAGGAAAGACAUCACUCACAGAAGAAGCACCGGCUAACUCCGUGCCAGCAGCCGCGGUAAUACGGAGGGUGCGAGCGUUAAUCGGAAUUACUGGGCGUAAAGCGCGCGUAGGUGGCUUGAUAAGCCGGUUGUGAAAGCCCCGGGCUCAACCUGGGAACGGCAUCCGGAACUGUCAAGCUAGAGUGCAGGAGAGGAAGGUAGAAUUCCCGGGGUAGCGGUGAAAUGCGUAGAGAUCGGGAGGAAUACCAGUGGCGAAGGCGGCCUUCUGGACUGACACUGACACUGAGGUGCGAAAGCGUGGGUAGCAAACAGGAUUAGAUACCCUGUAGUC